GAUGAACGCUGGCGGCGUGCCUAAUACAUGCAAGUCGAGCGAACAGACGAGGAGCUUGCUCCUCUGACGUUAGCGGCGGACGGGUGAGUAACACGUGGAUAACCUACCUAUAAGACUGGGAUAACUUCGGGAAACCGGAGCUAAUACCGGAUAAUAUAUUGAACCGCAUGGUUCAAUAGUGAAAGACGGUUUUGCUGUCACUUAUAGAUGGAUCCGCGCCGCAUUAGCUAGUUGGUAAGGUAACGGCUUACCAAGGCAACGAUGCGUAGCCGACCUGAGAGGGUGAUCGGCCACACUGGAACGGAGACACGGUCCAGGGUCCUGCGGGAGGGAGCAGUAGGGAAUCUUCCGCAAUGGGGGGAAGCCUGACGGAGCAACGCCGCGUGAGUUAUGAAGGUCUUCGGAUCGGAAAACUCUUUUAUUAGGGAAGAACAAAUGUGUAAGUAACUAUGCACGUCUUGACGGUACCUAAUCAGAAAGCCACGGCUAACUACGUG
This 497-nucleotide ribosomal RNA is filed under the name uncultured bacterium. RNAcentral's name for it is "partial 16S ribosomal RNA". It matches the Rfam family "Bacterial small subunit ribosomal RNA", at positions 28 to 507 of the family's 1533-position model. The record is from RNAcentral.